GCGCCUGUAGCUCAACUGGAUAGAGCAACGGCCUUCUAAGCCGUAGGUCAUGGGUUCGAGUCCCUUCAGGCGCACCA
Molecule: transfer RNA, 77 nt
Filed under: Acidithiobacillus thiooxidans
Lineage: Bacteria; Pseudomonadati; Pseudomonadota; Acidithiobacillia; Acidithiobacillales; Acidithiobacillaceae
Also listed under: 2 other names
Description: tRNA-Arg
Rfam family: tRNA
About the family: Transfer RNA (tRNA) molecules are approximately 80 nucleotides in length. Their secondary structure includes four short double-helical elements and three loops (D, anti-codon, and T loops).
Source: RNAcentral